GUAGCUCAGUGGUAGAGUGCUUGCCUUGCAUGCAUAAGGCCCUGGGUUCAAUUCCUCAGC
RNAcentral lists this transfer RNA (60 nucleotides) under Dipodomys ordii (Ord's kangaroo rat). It matches the Rfam family "tRNA", at positions 7 to 64 of the family's 71-position model. Rfam says of the family: Transfer RNA (tRNA) molecules are approximately 80 nucleotides in length. Lineage: Eukaryota; Metazoa; Chordata; Mammalia; Rodentia; Heteromyidae. The record is from Rfam by way of RNAcentral.